AUAUUUACAAGUGGAAUUCAAAGACUUUACUAUCUCAGAUAAUCCUUGAAGCAACACAGUCCUUGAAGCAUGAAUCUUUUCUAUAGGAAUGGGGACAAAAUGACUGUCUACCCUCACUUGACGACAGGGCUAGAGAGCUCACCACUUGCUGCUUCCCAAGUUCUGAUCAUCUGAAUAAAGUGCCUGAACAAAGACAUAAUGAAGUUGGAGGAAACCCAGAGAAUUAAGACAAUCAGAAUUAAGACAAUGGGAGCAGAAUGACAGUAGAAAGUAAUUCUGCUUUACUCAGUAUAUAGAAAAUCUAUCCAGCACGUUUAUCUACAAAAGAAGAAACUGGUUAAAAUUAAUUUUAAAAAAGUCCAAAGGUCUUUCUGGAAGAGAAAAUAGAAGUGAAAUAAGAAAAAAGAAACUACUUUCUGGAUUGUACAGAUUUUCAAGGAGGACCAGCUUCUCUGAUUCUAAAUAUCAUUGUGGCAGAGAAAAGAGGAGCAACACAAAGAGAUGAGAAGCUAUGAUUUUUCUAUCAUUAGUUUUUAUACUACAAUCAAUCCAAAACAGAGAUCAUAUCCCUUCUUUAACCCUCUUUUCCUCAAUAUAGCUAAAAUUUGUUCUUCGA
This 616-nucleotide long non-coding RNA is filed under the name Monodelphis domestica (gray short-tailed opossum). RNAcentral's name for it is "lncRNA (ENSMODG00000031867.2)". The record is from RNAcentral. Lineage: Eukaryota; Metazoa; Chordata; Mammalia; Didelphimorphia; Didelphidae.